AGCAGUGGGGAAUAUUGCACAAUGGGCGUCAAGCCUGAUGCAGCCAUGCCGCGUGUAUGAAGAAGGCCUUCGGGUUGUAAAGUACUUUCAGCAGUGAGGAAGGUGGGUAUGUUAAUAGCAUACUCAUUUGACGUUAGCUGCAGAAGAAGCACCGGCUAACUCCGUGCCAGCAGCCGCGGUAAUACGGAGGGUGCGAGCGUUAAUCGGAAUUACUGGGCGUAAAGCGCAUGCAGGUGGUUUGUUAAGUCAGAUGUGAAAGCCCGGGGCUCAACCUCGGAAUUGCAUUUGAAACUGGCAAACUAGAGUACUGUAGAGGGGGGUAGAAUUUCAGGUGUAGCGGUGAAAUGCGUAGAGAUCUGAAGGAAUACCGGUGGCGAAGGCGGCCCCCUGGACAGAUACUGACACUCAGAUGCGAAAGCGUGGGGAGCAAACAGGAUUAGAUACCCUGGUAG
This 452-nucleotide ribosomal RNA is filed under the name uncultured bacterium. Its description in RNAcentral is "bacterial SSU rRNA". It matches the Rfam family "Bacterial small subunit ribosomal RNA", at positions 350 to 793 of the family's 1533-position model. The record is from RNAcentral.